CCUACGGUGUUGCAGCAGUGGGGAAUAUUGGACAAUGGGCGAAAGCCUGAUCCAGCCAUGCCGCGUGUGUGAAGAAGGCCUUCGGGUUGUAAAGCACUUUCAGUGGGGAAGAAAGCCUUGGGGCUAAUACCCUCGAGGAAGGACAUCACCCACAGAAGAAGCACCGGCUAACUCCGUGCCAGCAGCCGCGGUAAUACGGAGGGUGCGAGCGUUAAUCGGAAUUACUGGGCGUAAAGCGCGCGUAGGCGGUCUGAUAAGCCGGUUGUGAAAGCCCCGGGCUCAACCUGGGAACGGCAUCCGGACCUGUCAGGCUAGAGUGCAGGAGAGGAAGGUAGAAUACCCGGUGUAGCGGUGAAAUGCGUAGAGAUCGGGAGGAAUACCAGUGGCGAAGGCGGCCUUCUGGACUGACACUGACGCUGAGGUGCGAAAGCGUGGGUAGCAAACAGGAUUAGAUACCCGAGUAGUC
Molecule: ribosomal RNA, 466 nt
Filed under: Vreelandella stevensii
Lineage: Bacteria; Pseudomonadati; Pseudomonadota; Gammaproteobacteria; Oceanospirillales; Halomonadaceae
Description: partial 16S ribosomal RNA
Rfam family: Bacterial small subunit ribosomal RNA
Source: RNAcentral